CUUGAGACCGGCGCACGGGUGCGUAACGCGUAUACAAUCUACCUUUUACAGAGGGAUAGCCCAGAGAAAUUUGGAUUAAUACCUCAUAGUAUUUUCGAAUGGCAUCAUUUGAUUAUUAAAGUUCCAACGGUAAAAGAUGAGUAUGCGUCCCAUUAGCUAGAUGGUAAGGUAACGGCUUACCAUGGCAACGAUGGGUAGGGGUCCUGAGAGGGAGAUCCCCCACACUGGUACUGAGACACGGACCAGACUCCUACGGGAGGCAGCAGUGAGGAAUAUUGGACAAUGGGCGCAAGCCUGAUCCAGCCAUGCCGCGUGCAGGAAGACGGUCCUAUGGAUUGUAAACUGCUUUUAUACAGGAAGAAACACACCCUCGUGAGGGUACUUGACGGUACUGUAUGAAUAAGCAUCGGCUAACUCCGUGCCAGCAGCCGCGGUAAU
RNAcentral lists this ribosomal RNA (438 nucleotides) under uncultured bacterium. RNAcentral describes it as "bacterial SSU rRNA". It matches the Rfam family "Bacterial small subunit ribosomal RNA", at positions 88 to 524 of the family's 1533-position model. The record is from RNAcentral.